This 497-nucleotide ribosomal RNA is filed under the name uncultured bacterium. RNAcentral describes it as "partial 16S ribosomal RNA". It matches the Rfam family "Bacterial small subunit ribosomal RNA", at positions 28 to 507 of the family's 1533-position model. The record is from RNAcentral.
GAUGAACGCUGGCGGCGUGCCUAAUACAUGCAAGUCGAGCGAACGGACGAGAAGCUUGCUUCUCUGAUGUUAGCGGCGGACGGGUGAGUAACACGUGGAUAACCUACCUAUAAGACUGGGAUAACUUCGGGAAACCGGAGCUAAUACCGGAUAAUAUUUUGAACCGCAUGGUUCAAAAGUGAAAGACGGUCUUGCUGUCACUUAUAGAUGGAUCCGCGCUGCAUUAGCUAGUUGGUAAGGUAACGGCUUACCAAGGCAACGAUGCAUAGCCGACCUGAGAGGGUGAUCGGCCACACUGGAACUGGGACACGGUCCAGACUCCUACGGGAGGCAGCAGUAGGGAAUCUUCCGCAAUGGGCGAAAGCCUGACGGAGCAACGCCGCGUGAGUGAUGAAGGUCUUCGGAUCGUAAAACUCUGUUAUUAGGGAAGAACAGAUGUGUAAGUAACUGUGGACAUCUUGACGGUACCUAAUCAGAAAGCCACGGCUAACUACGUG